RNAcentral lists this non-coding RNA (30 nucleotides) under Mus musculus (house mouse). The record is from RNAcentral. Lineage: Eukaryota; Metazoa; Chordata; Mammalia; Rodentia; Muridae.
UAUUCUAUCAUUAUCUAGUGCAUCUUUUGU